RNAcentral lists this long non-coding RNA (2648 nucleotides) under Olea europaea subsp. europaea. Lineage: Eukaryota; Viridiplantae; Streptophyta; Magnoliopsida; Lamiales; Oleaceae. The record is from RNAcentral.
UCUAUAUUGAUAAAAAAAAUAAAAUAAAAUAAAAUAAAAUAAAAUAAAAAGGUUAGAUGGCAAAGGUGAAAAAAGUAUUUUUCUUGGUGUUAGUGAUUAUUCAAAGGGUUAUAAAUUGUAUAAUCCUACCACAAAGAAAUUUAUCAUUAGUCGUGACAUAGUUUUUGAUGAAGAAAAAACAUGGUUUUGGAUUAGCAACAAUGAUGAGCAACAUGUUCCAGCAGAUUUUGAGAGUGAAAAUGGGGAGGAAACUAUGCAACAAGCUCCAGCAAUCCCUGCUCCCAAAAAUUCUCAAGAUGAACCUUCCAUAACUUCUGAAAUUUCAUCAGUAGCCGCAAGAAAUGAUGAAUAGGUUGAUGCUACAGCAGAUUCACGUCCUCAACGUAUUAGAUAAAGGCCAACAUGGAUGUCAAAUUAUGAGAUAACAAGAAUUGCUGAUUUUGAGGACCCACUUACACUGCUCUAUUUUUAAAUUUUGAUCCCACAACUUUUGAGGUUGUUAUCAAAGAACGGAAGUGGAAGAAGGCUAUGGAUGAACAGAUUUAAGCCAUUGAAAGGAAUAAUACUUGGGAGCUAACUGAGCUUCUAAAAGGGCAGAAGAUAAUUGGUGUCAAGUGGGUUUACAAGACGAAAUUAAAAGAGUGGUACAAUUGAUAAAUAUAAGGCAUGCCUAGUAGCUAAAGGUUAAAAGCAAGAUUUUGGCGUGGAUUACAAAGAAGUGUUCGCUGAAGUUGCAAGACAUGACACAAUUAGAUUGAUGAUUGCGUUGGCAGCUCAACAUUCAUGGCCCAUGUUCCAAUUGGAUGUGAAAUCGGCAUUUUUAUAUGGAGACUUGCAAGAAGAGGUAUUUGUUGAUCAACCUCCUGGUUAUGUGAAAUUAGGUAGUGAGCAUAAGGUUUAUAAACUUAAGAAAGCACUACAUUGACUAAAACAUGAACCUAGAGCUUGGUAUAAUCGUAUAGAUGCUUAUUCUUUAAGGGAAAAAAAUGUCCAUAUGAGCAUAAUCUUUACACAAAAAUUGAAGGGGAAUGAAAAGUGCUAAUGAUAUGAUUGUAUGUAGAUGAUUUAAUUUAUAUGGGAAAUGACAAGGGUAUAUUUGAAAAGUUUAAGCAAUCAACAAAGCUAGAGUUUGAUAUGUUUGACCUUGGGCUAAUGCAUUAUUUCUUGGCAUAGAAGUAGUGCAAUCUCCUGCUAGAAUUCUUAUUUCUCAAAAAGGAAAAAAUAUGUUCAAGAAAUUUUAGAGAAUUUUCAAAUGAAAAACUGCAUUCAUAUCGUUACUCCAGUAGAACAAGGAUUGAAGCUUGUAAAGGAUUCGGCAGGAAGAUAAGUUAAUAAGACUCUUUACAACAAAAUAGCUGGAAGUUUGAUGUAGUUGAUAGAAACAAAACCUCGUAUAAUACAAGCAGUAUGGAGAGUCCAAAAGAGAUUCAUCUUCUAGCUGCAAAAAGGAUCCUUUGGUGCUUGCGUGGUACUAUUGAUCUUGGGCUAUUCUAAAAAAGUGGUGAAAGAUCAGAAUUGUUCGGAUUCAUAGAUAGUGAUUAUGCUGGAGAGUUGGAAGAUAGAAGGAGGACAUAUGGAUAUCUUUAUGUUUGGGUCUGCAACUGUUUCGUGGUCAUCAAAGAAACGAACAUUAGUUACUCUAUCAACACCUGAGGUAGAAUUUGUUGCAGCAAUUCUUGUGCUUGUCAAGCACUUUGGUUUUGGUUCUGCAACUGUUUUGUGGUCAUCAAAGAAACGAACAUUAGUUACUCUAUCAACAACUGAGGUAGAAUUUGUUGCAGCAAUUCUUGUGCUUGUCAAGCACUUUGGUUAAGGAAAUGCUUGAGAAACUUCAGUUCAAGCAACUAGGUUCUACUUAUAUUUUUUGUGAUAAUAGUUUAACAAUCAACUCUCAAAGAAUCUUGCUUUUCAUGGAAGAUGCAAGCACGUAGAUGAAGAUACCACUUAUUGCGUGGUCUUACCAAGGAUGGAAUUAUUGAUCUUCUUUACUGCAAAAGUGAAGAUCAAAUAGUUGAUAUCUUUACUAAAUCCCUCAAAUUUGCUAGCUUUCUGAAGCUGAGGAAAUUACUUGGAGUUUGUACUCUGGAGAAUUGAAUUUGAGAUUUGGUUCUACAUAAUUGUUACACUGAACGUUUGCAAACAUUUAAUUUAAAUGAGGGAUUGUUGAUUAUUUUAUUGGAUUUAUAUUUUUAAUUACUUGGAAUCUGUUAUAGUUUGUUAUUCACAUGUGUGUCUUUUACCUAGUCUUUAGGAUUUUGUUGCUGCAAAUUGGUUAGUGGUCCCAUGUCAAGCUAUUAGUUUGCUAUGUAUAUUGUUUGUAUAGCCUAUAUGUAGGCCGAUUUGUUGAUGAAUAAAGAUACAGCAAUCAAGAUUUUCAUUCCAGAUUUUUCCUUUAAGCUUUAUAUAUAUGCUUCUGAUUUUAUCAGGGAAUCUCUCUGAAUUUGUUGAACUACGCAUGUAAAUGUUAGGGAUUGAAUAUGCCUUGAUCGAAUUUGAAUAUAUGAUUUAUGAUUUGUGAAUGUCUAUGGAUUUGUUGAACUAGCCAACUAGUAUGUAAAUGUUAGGGAUUGAAUGGAGCAAUUGUUUAAAUUUUGUUUGGGAACUGGGAAUUUCAUCAAAAAUUGAAAUAAAGACAGCAUUAUUACGCA